CCUACGGGUGGCAGCAGUGAGGAAUAUUGGUCGAUGGGCGAGAGUCUGAACCAGCCACGCAGCGUGAGGGAUGAAUGCUCUCUGUGUUGUAAACUUCUUUUAUAUGGGAAUAAAACAGGGUAUGCAUCCCAUCUUGUAUGUCCCAUAUGAAUACGGAUCGGCUAACUCCGUGCCAGCAGCCGCGGUCAUACGGAGGAGCCGAGCGUUAUCCGGAUUUAUUGGGUGUACAGGGCGCGUAGGUGGAUUGGUAAGUCAGUUGUGAAAGGGUGCGGCUCAACCCUAAAAUUGCAUUUGAAACUGGAAGGCUAGAGUGCAGGAGAGGUGGGCGGAAUGCGUGGUGUAGCGGUGAAAUGCGUAGAUAUUACGAAGAACUCCGGUUGCGAAGGCGGCCCACUGGAC
RNAcentral lists this ribosomal RNA (399 nucleotides) under uncultured bacterium. RNAcentral describes it as "partial 16S ribosomal RNA". It matches the Rfam family "Bacterial small subunit ribosomal RNA", at positions 338 to 734 of the family's 1533-position model. The record is from RNAcentral.